GAGGUCAGGAGUUCUUGACCAGCCUGACCAACAUGGAGAAACCCUGUCUCUACUAAAAAUACAAAAAUUAGCCAGGUGCAGGACACAGGGAGGGGAACAUCACACACCAGAGCCUGUUGGGGGCUGGGGGACAAGGGGAGUGAGAGCAUUAGAACAAAUACCUAACGCAUCCGGGACUUACAAUCUAGAUGACGGGUUGACAGGUGCAGCAAACCACCAUGGCACAUGUAUACCUAUUGUAUACCUAUGUAACAAACCUGCACGUUCUACACAUGUAUUCCAGAACUUAUCCCAGCACUUGGGGAGGCUGAGGUGGGCAGAUCAUGAGGUCAGGAGAUCGAGACCAUCCUGACCAACAUGGUGAAACCCCGUCUCUACUAAA
RNAcentral lists this long non-coding RNA (382 nucleotides) under Homo sapiens (human). RNAcentral's name for it is "non-protein coding lnc-ASMT-6:2". Lineage: Eukaryota; Metazoa; Chordata; Mammalia; Primates; Hominidae. The record is from RNAcentral.